GGGCCCGCACAAGCGGUGGAGUAUGUGGUUUAAUUCGAUGCAACGCGAAGAACCUUACCAGGGUUUGACAUCCUGCGAAUUUCUGGGAAACCGGAAAGUGCCUUCGGGAGCGCAGUGACAGGUGGUGCAUGGCUGUCGUCAGCUCGUGUCGUGAGAUGUUGGGUUAAGUCCCGCAACGAGCGCAACCCACGUCUUUAGUUGCCAGCAUUUAGUUGGGCACUCUAGAGAGACCGCCGGUGAUAAACCGGAGGAAGGUGUGGAUGACGUCAAGUCAUCAUGCCCCUUACAUCCUGGGCUACACACGUACUACAAUGGCGAUGACAGUGGGCAGCGACCCCGCAAGGGUGAGCUAAUCUCCAAAAGUCGUCUCAGUUCGGAUUGUCCUCUGCAACUCGAGGGCAUGAAGGCGGAAUCGCUAGUAAUCGC
RNAcentral lists this ribosomal RNA (426 nucleotides) under uncultured bacterium. RNAcentral describes it as "bacterial SSU rRNA". It matches the Rfam family "Bacterial small subunit ribosomal RNA", at positions 917 to 1345 of the family's 1533-position model. The record is from RNAcentral.